RNAcentral lists this ribosomal RNA (406 nucleotides) under uncultured bacterium. RNAcentral describes it as "partial 16S ribosomal RNA". It matches the Rfam family "Bacterial small subunit ribosomal RNA", at positions 30 to 526 of the family's 1533-position model. The record is from RNAcentral.
AUUGAACGCUGGCGGCAGGCCUAACACAUGCAAGUCGAGCGAGCGGCGGACGGGUGAGUAAUGUCUGGGAACCUGCCAGAUGGAGGUGGAUAACUACUGGAAACGGUAGCUAAUACCGCAUACCAUCAGAUGUGCCCAGGGGGGAUUAGGUAGUAGGGGGGGUAACGGCUCACCUAGGCGACCAUCCCUAGCUGGUCUGAGAGGAUGACCAGCCACACUGGAACUGAGACACGGUCCAGACUCCUACGGGAGGCAGCAGUGGGGAAUAUUGCACAAUGGGCGCAAGCCUGAUGCAGCCAUGCCGCGUGUGUGAAGAAGGCCUUCGGGUUGUAAAGCACUUUCAGCGGGGAGGCGUUACCCGCAGAAGAAGCACCGGCUAACUCCGUGCCAGCAGCCGCGGUAAUUC